Molecule: ribosomal RNA, 490 nt
Filed under: uncultured bacterium
Lineage: Bacteria
Description: partial 16S ribosomal RNA
Rfam family: Bacterial small subunit ribosomal RNA
Source: RNAcentral
AUUGAACGCUGGCGGCAGGCCUAACACAUGCAAGUCGAACGGUAACAGGAAGAAGCUUGCUUCUUUGCUGACGAGUGGCGGACGGGUGAGUAAUGUCUGGGAAACUGCCUGAUGGAGGGGGAUAACUACUGGAAACGGUAGCUAAUACCGCAUAACGUCGCAAGACCAAAGAGGGGGACCUUCGGGCCUCUUGCCAUCGGAUGUGCCCAGAUGGGAUUAGCUAGUAGGUGGGGUAACGGCUCACCUAGGCGACGAUCCCUAGCUGGUCUGAGAGGAUGACCAGCCACACGGGAACUGAGACACGGUCCAGACUCCUACGGGAGGCAGCAGUGGGGAAUAUUGCACAAUGGGCGCAAGCCUGAUGCAGCCAUGCCGCGUGUAUGAAGUAGGCCUUCGGGUUGUAAAGUACUUUCAGCGGGGAGGAAGGGAGUAAAGUUAAUACCUUUACUCAUUGACGUUACCCGCAGAAGAAGCACCGGCUAACUCCGUG